CCGCCGCGUUCCCCUCGAUUUGCACCGUCACUCGGGCUGUUGGGAAGGCAGAGGGGAGGCGCUCUGCGUGCCUCCGUGUACCUGGAUCUGAGUGCAGAAGUGUGUGUGAAUGCCUGUGCCUCUGUGUGUAAGAACACACCUCCGUUCAAGGGGCUUUGGAGUGUCUGCCGGUGCGACAACGGAGGAAGGUGAGUCCAUGAGACUGUGGCGCGGCCACACGCG
RNAcentral lists this long non-coding RNA (222 nucleotides) under Bos mutus (wild yak). Its description in RNAcentral is "lncRNA (ENSBMUG00000015413.1)". Lineage: Eukaryota; Metazoa; Chordata; Mammalia; Artiodactyla; Bovidae. The record is from RNAcentral.